RNAcentral lists this ribosomal RNA (675 nucleotides) under uncultured Zoogloea sp. RNAcentral's name for it is "bacterial SSU rRNA". It matches the Rfam family "Bacterial small subunit ribosomal RNA", at positions 94 to 764 of the family's 1533-position model. The record is from RNAcentral. Lineage: Bacteria; Pseudomonadati; Pseudomonadota; Betaproteobacteria; Rhodocyclales; Zoogloeaceae.
AGUGGCGAACGGGUGAGUAAUGCAUCGGAACGUACCGUGUAGUGGGGGAUAACGUAGCGAAAGUUACGCUAAUACCGCAUACGCCCUGAGGGGGAAAGUGGGGGACCGCAAGGCCUCACGCUAUAUGAGCGGCCGAUGUCGGAUUAGCUAGUUGGUAGGGUAAAGGCCUACCAAGGCGACGAUCCGUAGCGGGUCUGAGAGGAUGAUCCGCCACACUGGGACUGAGACACGGCCCAGACUCCUACGGGAGGCAGCAGUGGGGAAUUUUGGACAAUGGGCGCAAGCCUGAUCCAGCCAUGCCGCGUGAGUGAAGAAGGCCUUCGGGUUGUAAAGCUCUUUCAGACGGAAAGAAAUCUCUCGGGAUAACACCCUGGGAGGAUGACGGUACCGUAAGAAGAAGCACCGGCUAACUACGUGCCAGCAGCCGCGGUAAUACGUAGGGUGCGAGCGUUAAUCGGAAUUACUGGGCGUAAAGCGUGCGCAGGCGGUGAUGUAAGACAGAUGUGAAAUCCCCGGGCUCAACCUGGGAACUGCGUUUGUGACUGCAUCACUCGAGUACGGCAGAGGGAGGUGGAAUUCCGCGUGUAGCAGUGAAAUGCGUAGAUAUGCGGAGGAACACCGAUGGCGAAAGGCAGCCUCCUGGGCCAGUACUGACGCUCAUGCACGAAAGCGUGG